ACAUCCAUAUUAUUAUUUUUUUAAAAAAAAGACUAAAAUAAAGAGUAUACAAACGGUUCUAAGAGGGUCUAGAACUAGAACUUCAGCAGCACCUUUAUAUUCUCACUUUCUUUUUGUUUUGGGUUUCCGAGUCUCUGCUUCGCAUUCUCGCUGUUCAUCACAUUGCGUUCACGUUUCUGCUUUGCCGAGUCUCUGCUUCGCAUUCUCGCUGUCCAUCACAUUGCGUUCACGAUUCUGCUUUGUCAACGAGGUUUUAAUCUCUCCCGAUUCUAACUAUUUAAUUUUUAUUGUGUUUUAGUAGUUAAUCAAUAGGUGUAAUCGUCAUCACCAUGCUCACAAUCACACUACGCUUCACUUAACUUUGAAAUUGGGGAAAAUGUAACUGAAGAGAAUAUUAGGUUUCGCAUUUUGAUGAACUUGUCUGCGGCAUUGAAAGAGAUGUGAUAAGUUGACGGAUUUGUUUUAUAUUUUUAAUGAUAAUGCAUGAUAAAUACGAGUUUGUGAUGUGGAUUGUUUUAGUGACAUACUGUAGUUAUUUGCUUGUAGUGUACAUGUUCGUAAGAAGUCCUGCGAGGAAUGUAUCUCGUGUUGUUUAACCCUGGGAUUUUGGGUCUAUUAUUGUUCUUGUUCCUAAAUAUAUAUAUAUAU
Molecule: long non-coding RNA, 648 nt
Filed under: Vigna radiata
Lineage: Eukaryota; Viridiplantae; Streptophyta; Magnoliopsida; Fabales; Fabaceae
Description: long non-coding RNA (VRAD_LNC010801)
Source: RNAcentral